Molecule: ribosomal RNA, 23 nt
Filed under: Melampodium diffusum
Lineage: Eukaryota; Viridiplantae; Streptophyta; Magnoliopsida; Asterales; Asteraceae
Also listed under: 2 other names
Description: partial 26S ribosomal RNA
Source: RNAcentral
UCGCGACCCCAGGUCAGGCGGGA